Molecule: ribosomal RNA, 253 nt
Filed under: uncultured bacterium
Lineage: Bacteria
Description: partial 16S ribosomal RNA
Rfam family: Bacterial small subunit ribosomal RNA
Source: RNAcentral
UACAGAGGGUGCGAGCGUUGUUCGGAAUUAUUGGGCGUAAAGGGCGCGUAGGCGGCGCCACAAGUCACUUGUGAAAACUCUGGGCUCAACUCAGAGCCUGCAAGCGAAACUGUGGUGCUGGAGUAUGGGAGAGGUGCGUGGAAUUCCGGGUGUAGUGGUGAAAUGCGUAGAGAUCCGGAGGAACCCCAGAGGCGAAGGCGGCCCCCUGGCUCGUACCUGACGCUCAGCCACGAAAGCAUGGGGAGCGAACGGG